GUAGUGUACAACCUGAGUGUUCAGACAUGACAGGUUUAUACUGUACUUCCCAGAGCAUGUUCUGGCAGGUUUGAUGGGAGUUGAUCAACGUGUCUGGUUUCAGCCUAACUUGAGACAUCUAAGCCUCCCAAUUUUGUGGAAGCCUCUGAAAAGAAGGGAGAGACAUUCAUUCCAAGGGAAUAGAAAAGGGAACCGGUGGGACAUUAUCUUAUUUUAAGGAAUCAAAGCUCGGGGACCUGUCGGGAGGCGGCUGCUAGAGAAGUGGAGGCAUAUCUGAGUGACUGAGAGGAGCCAGUGUGAAGACGACCCAAAUCCCCGAGCCAUGUCUAUGGAUCAGCAGCAUCAGGAAUUUCUUAGACAGAGCAUCUUGGUCCUGCACAGAGCUGCUGGACUUGGAUUUCAUGGUCCAGGACCCAGGCCAUGGAGUGGUACUUCCAACAGUUAAAGUGAGUCUUCCCUCCUCAGUCUGGAAGGUCCCUAACACACUUGCCCAGAGAUGUGUCUCCUAG
This is a non-coding RNA of Arvicanthis niloticus (Nile rat), 509 nucleotides long. The record is from RefSeq and is a predicted model, not a curated record. Lineage: Eukaryota; Metazoa; Chordata; Mammalia; Rodentia; Muridae.